Molecule: transfer RNA, 74 nt
Filed under: Acidobacteriota bacterium
Lineage: Bacteria; Pseudomonadati; Acidobacteriota
Description: tRNA-Arg
Rfam family: tRNA
About the family: Transfer RNA (tRNA) molecules are approximately 80 nucleotides in length. Their secondary structure includes four short double-helical elements and three loops (D, anti-codon, and T loops).
Source: RNAcentral
GCGCCCAUAGCUCAAUUGGAUAGAGCGUCGGUCUCCGAAGCCGAAGGUUGUAAGUUCAAGUCUUACUGGGCGCA